Molecule: ribosomal RNA, 440 nt
Filed under: uncultured bacterium
Lineage: Bacteria
Description: partial 16S ribosomal RNA
Rfam family: Bacterial small subunit ribosomal RNA
Source: RNAcentral
CCUACGGGAGGCAGCAGUGGGGAAUAUUGCACAAUGGGGGAAACCCUGAUGCAGCGACGCCGCGUGAAUGAAGAAGUAUUUCGGCAUGUAAACUUCUAUCGGCAGGGAAGAAAAUAAAGGUAACUUACUAAGAAGCCCCGGCUAACUACGUGCCAGCAGCCUCUGUCAUACGUAGGGGGCAAGCGUUAUCCGGAUUUACUGGGUGUAAAGGGAGCGUAGGCGGUGCAGCAAGCCAGAUGUGAAAGCCCGGGGCUUAAUUCCGGGACUGCCUUUGAAAAUGUUGAACUAGAGUGCAGGAGAGGUAAGUGGAAUUCCUAGUGUAGCGGUGAAAUGAGUAGAUAGUAGGAGGAAAACCAGUGGCGAAGGCGGCUUACUGGACUGUAAAUGACGCUGAGGCUCGAAAGCGUGGGGAGCAAACAGGAUUAGAUACCCGAGUAGUC